This 420-nucleotide ribosomal RNA is filed under the name Amazophrynella siona. RNAcentral describes it as "partial large subunit ribosomal RNA". It matches the Rfam family "Bacterial large subunit ribosomal RNA", at positions 1835 to 2457 of the family's 2925-position model. The record is from RNAcentral. Lineage: Eukaryota; Metazoa; Chordata; Amphibia; Anura; Bufonidae.
CUUGCACCCCAUAAGAGGUCCAGCCUGCCCAGUGAAAUAUUCAACGGCCGCGGUAUCCUAACCGUGCGAAGGUAGCGUAAUCACUUGCUCUCUAAAUCAGGACUAGUAUGAACGGCACCACGAGGGUUCUACUGUCUCCUUUUUCCAAUUAGUGAACUUAAUCUUCCCGUGAAGAAGCCGGAAUAACCCUAUAAGACGAGAAGACCCUUUGGAGCUUUAAACAUCUUAGCACUUGCAUCACAUCUUCAUAUUUCUGAAUACUAUAACUCCCGCACGAUGACUAAAAGUUUUAGGUUGGGGUGACCGCGGAGUAAAAUAAACCCUCCACACUGUAAGAAUCUCUUAAAUCUUAACUAAGAGCCACACCUCUAAGUAUCAGCAUACUGACAUCUAUUGACCCAAUAUAUUUGAUCAAUGAAC